RNAcentral lists this unclassified non-coding RNA (238 nucleotides) under uncultured Pezoloma. RNAcentral's name for it is "sequence contains ITS2". The stretch from base 1 to 52 matches the Rfam family "5.8S ribosomal RNA", at positions 103 to 154 of the family's 154-position model. Lineage: Eukaryota; Fungi; Ascomycota; Leotiomycetes; Leotiales; Leotiaceae. The record is from RNAcentral.
AACGCACAUUGCGCCCCUUGGUAUUCCGAGGGGCAUGCCUGUUCGAGCGUCAUUAUAACCACUCAAGCCUCGGCUUGGUAUUGGGGUUCGCGGUUUCGCGGCCCUUAAAAUCAGUGGCGGUGCCGUCUGGCUCUAAGCGUAGUAAUUCUCUCGCUAUAGGGUCCAGGUGGUUACUUGUCAGAAUCCCCCACUUUUAUAGGUUGACCUCGGAUCAGGUAGGGAUACCCGCUGAACUUAA